Molecule: ribosomal RNA, 785 nt
Filed under: Bacillus albus
Lineage: Bacteria; Bacillati; Bacillota; Bacilli; Caryophanales; Bacillaceae
Description: bacterial SSU rRNA
Rfam family: Bacterial small subunit ribosomal RNA
Source: RNAcentral
AGCUUGCUCUUAUGAAGUUAGCGGCGGACGGGUGAGUAACACGUGGGUAACCUGCCCAUAAGACUGGGAUAACUCCGGGAAACCGGGGCUAAUACCGGAUAACAUUUUGAACCGCAUGGUUCGAAAUUGAAAGGCGGCUUCGGCUGUCACUUAUGGAUGGACCCGCGUCGCAUUAGCUAGUUGGUGAGGUAACGGCUCACCAAGGCAACGAUGCGUAGCCGACCUGAGAGGGUGAUCGGCCACACUGGGACUGAGACACGGCCCAGACUCCUACGGGAGGCAGCAGUAGGGAAUCUUCCGCAAUGGACGAAAGUCUGACGGAGCAACGCCGCGUGAGUGAUGAAGGCUUUCGGGUCGUAAAACUCUGUUGUUAGGGAAGAACAAGUGCUAGUUGAAUAAGCUGGCACCUUGACGGUACCUAACCAGAAAGCCACGGCUAACUACGUGCCAGCAGCCGCGGUAAUACGUAGGUGGCAAGCGUUAUCCGGAAUUAUUGGGCGUAAAGCGCGCGCAGGUGGUUUCUUAAGUCUGAUGUGAAAGCCCACGGCUCAACCGUGGAGGGUCAUUGGAAACUGGGAGACUUGAGUGCAGAAGAGGAAAGUGGAAUUCCAUGUGUAGCGGUGAAAUGCGUAGAGAUAUGGAGGAACACCAGUGGCGAAGGCGACUUUUCUGGUCUGUAACUGACACUGAGGCGCGAAAGCGUGGGGAGCAAACAGGAUUAGAUACCCUGAUAGUCCACGCCGUAAACGAUGAGUGCUAAGUGUUAGAGGGUUUCCGCCCUUUUA